Molecule: ribosomal RNA, 164 nt
Filed under: Coprinopsis cinerea
Lineage: Eukaryota; Fungi; Basidiomycota; Agaricomycetes; Agaricales; Psathyrellaceae
Description: 5.8S ribosomal RNA
Rfam family: 5.8S ribosomal RNA
About the family: 5.8S ribosomal RNA (5.8S rRNA) is a component of the large subunit of the eukaryotic ribosome.
Source: RNAcentral
CAACUUUCAGCAACGGAUCUCUUGGCUCUCGCAUCGAUGAAGAACGCAGCGAAAUGCGAUAAGUAAUGUGAAUUGCAGAAUUCAGUGAAUCAUCGAAUCUUUGAACGCACCUUGCGCUCCUUGGUAUUCCGAGGAGCAUGCCUGUUUGAGUGUCAUUAAAUUCU